AGAGUUUGAUCAUGGCUCAGGAUGAACGCUGGCGGCGUGCCUAACACAUGCAAGUCGAACGGACUUACAUUGAAGCCUAGCGAUAUGUAAGUUAGUGGCGGACGGGUGAGUAACGCGUGGGUAACCUGCCUUGUACUGGGGGACAACAGUUGGAAACGACUGCUAAUACCGCAUAAGCGCACAGCUUCGCAUGAAGCAGUGUGAAAAACUCCGGUGGUACCCCCCAAGAUGGACCGCGUCUGAUUAGC
Molecule: ribosomal RNA, 248 nt
Filed under: uncultured bacterium
Lineage: Bacteria
Description: partial 16S ribosomal RNA
Rfam family: Bacterial small subunit ribosomal RNA
Source: RNAcentral